GUCGGCAAUGUGGAGGUGACACUGCAUCCGGACCCUGGGCAACAUUUUGUCCACUCCUGGAUUAAGUUCACAGUGGGUAACCCGGUAUAGAAGCACACACAUGUGCAUGCUUGAAAACAAAGCUGUUUUAAGAUGAAUGAUAUAAAUCAAUAACAUACACUGUUCUAUGUUUGACUGGUAAACAGAGAUGUCAAAGAACUGCAGUGGAAAGAAAGGAGCAGAACCACAGAGUUUUGGGUGCUCAUUUAGUUGUUUGGGACUAACUAGCAUGAAGAUAAGCGGUCAUUCCUACAGGACUUUAAGAGCCCAGAAAGGAAGAGCAACUGCAUCUACAUUGUCAGUAUAAUUCUGCUCCUUCUCAUCAUUUGGGUCUUAGCAAUUGCACUAGACUCUCCAUCCCAAGACACUGAGGCACCGACAGAAGCUUCCCAGGCUGGCCAUGCAAGGAGCGG
Molecule: long non-coding RNA, 452 nt
Organism: Alligator sinensis (Chinese alligator)
Lineage: Eukaryota; Metazoa; Chordata; Crocodylia; Alligatoridae
Exons: 3
Source: RefSeq, a predicted model, not a curated record